This 136-nucleotide small nucleolar RNA is filed under the name Leptobrachium leishanense (Leishan spiny toad). Its description in RNAcentral is "Small nucleolar RNA SNORD94 (ENSLLEG00000005158.1)". It matches the Rfam family "Small nucleolar RNA SNORD94". Rfam says of the family: The members of this family belong to the C/D class of snoRNAs which contain the C (UGAUGA) and D (CUGA) box motifs. Most of the members of the box C/D family function in directing site-specific 2'-O-methylation of substrate RNAs. The record is from Rfam by way of RNAcentral. Lineage: Eukaryota; Metazoa; Chordata; Amphibia; Anura; Megophryidae.
AAGGCGAUGAUGAACGGCGCAGGGGUACAGACCUCGGCUGGAUCAUGGGGGCCGAGUGCGAGCAUCUUUGUGUAUCCUGCAUGUGGCAGGUGACCACAGAGCACUCGCAUGAGAACGGAGCCGCACUCUGAGCCUC